This is an RNA transcript of Haliotis rubra (blacklip abalone), 553 nucleotides long. It is a transcript of the gene named dihydrofolate reductase-like, with no coding region annotated. NCBI's taxonomy places the organism in Eukaryota, Metazoa, Mollusca, Gastropoda, Lepetellida, Haliotidae. The record is from RefSeq and is a predicted model, not a curated record. The transcript has 4 exons.
AGAAGAAUGUCCACAUUCAGGGACGUAAGACGUGGCAGGGAUGUAAAACGUCAAGGACGUCGGAUCCUAAUCAGAUUCAGAUCGUCAUCAGUUCCAGCUUGGACACCAGCAAGGACCCAUUACAUCCCAUAGUUGUGCCCAGUUUUGAGGAAGCGGUCAAGGUCGCAACGUCACCGGAAGUAAAGAGUCAGGCGGAGUCCAUAUGGAUCAUCGGGGGUCAACGUGUGUACGAGGCAGCGAUUGCCCAUCCGCUGUGCAAGCACAUCUAUCUUACAAGGAUCUACAGGGACUAUGAUUCCGAUGUCUUCUUUCCCUCUUUCGAAGAUACAUUCACGGAGAGCAGUGACCCGGAUGUGGAUGGGAAGAUGAGAGAGGAUAACGGAAUUCAGUUCCGGUUUGAAGUUUAUGACCGGAAGUGACGACAAACAGCCACAUCAGAACCUUGAGUGCAGAAGACCCAUACUGAAUAUUACGUGGAAGAUUUUGAAUGUCUCCAAUCACGUUUCAGUAGUGUAUGUUCUAACCAUCUGGGAAUGGGUUGUUGUCCUUUAAA